RNAcentral lists this microRNA (21 nucleotides) under Oryza sativa (Asian cultivated rice). RNAcentral describes it as "osa-miR5506". Lineage: Eukaryota; Viridiplantae; Streptophyta; Magnoliopsida; Poales; Poaceae. The record is from miRBase by way of RNAcentral.
UGGAUCGCUUCGUCUGAUGGU